GCCGAUUCUGCCACCAAAUUCACCGAUUGCGCAAUUUGUCUGACGGAAUUCGCAACCGGAGACGAAAUCAGAGUGCUGCCUCAAUGCGGUCACGGAUUCCACUUGAACUGUAUUGACAUGUGGCUAGGGUCCCACUCAUCCUGUCCCAGAUUUUGGUGUUGGCGAGAUGUCAAAAGUGUGGCGGUUUGCCGGCGAGUUCGAGCGGCGGAGCUGAUACGGAGGCUAGAUUGAAGGCGGGAGAAGACCAUGCCAAUAGGUUCUUGCCC
Molecule: unclassified non-coding RNA, 266 nt
Filed under: Hevea brasiliensis (rubber tree)
Lineage: Eukaryota; Viridiplantae; Streptophyta; Magnoliopsida; Malpighiales; Euphorbiaceae
Source: RNAcentral